Non-coding RNA from Sus scrofa (pig), 9328 nucleotides. The record is from RefSeq and is a predicted model, not a curated record. Lineage: Eukaryota; Metazoa; Chordata; Mammalia; Artiodactyla; Suidae.
UUUUUGAUUGGUGGCCUUCAGAAUGCUUUCCCACUGCAGUUGAGAACUGUUGAGAAGCUGCUGUACAUGAUACACCAUGGGGCUUUCGUGUCACUUUUAGAGUUCCAGGACUUCAACUUCUGUGAGACACUUUCCCUCCAUGUCAUACAUCUGCAAAUUUAAAUUCAAGAAAACCCUUUCAAAACAGUGAAAUUAAGUAAUAAUUGAAGUGGAUACUAGCUUCUUCAGCACAAAAGGAUUUAUUUUGGUAUAUUUUUAGGGUUUGGUACAACACAUUGAUACAAAAUACUAGCAUGAGAGAAAAAAAAUUGAUAGUGUAAAGGAUGUGUGAUGGGAGAAAAGAACAAAGGGCUUUUCUCCAAUCAAAUGCAAAUGAAAAUGACCCGCAAGAUUCUGAAAACAGUCUCUCUCCUGACAAUGAACAUUUUCAUGCAGUGAAAUCCAUUUUUGAGACUCAUUAGCAAGCGCUGUGAUCUUGCUUAUUUUCUAUAGAAGCGUCUGGUUAUUUCAAAUUGAUUAGGAGACCUCUGAUGUGGGAGACCGAAUCACUGAACUACCCCAGAAUGCAAGCUCCUGGAAGGCAAGGAUUCCUGCACAUGACUGCCUGCAUGUGAUUCCAAGAUGUACUCCAGAUUAUAACAGCUGCAAAUGAAAAAUAUCAAGAUGGUGCCUACAAAUCAGGACAAUAGACAGCAUGGGCUAAGGACAUCUUUGGCAAGGCUUGGGAGCACCUUUUAGAGGUGAGUGUGUGUGUGUGUGUGUGUGUGUGUGUGUGUGUGUGUGUGUUUUGUUUAAAUAUUGUUGAUUUACAAUUUUGUGUUACUUUCAGGUGUGCGGCAUAGUGAUUCAGUGUUUUGUUUUCAAAAAAUAUCUUAACUAUGCAUAUUCAGAGUCAAGGCCUCUCCAAAUGUGAUUACGUAUUUAUAGCCUUGCCACAUGGCUUCCCAGAGUAAAGCAUAACAAGCUCUAUUUAAAGAGAUCCUCACAGACACUGUUUGGCUGACCACAUUCAGCAUGUAGUUUACAUACAGAUCGAUAAAGGUUGAGUUUCAGUUGAAUCUGAGUCCUGGCUUCUAAUUGUUUCCUUUAAAUUAUAAGUAGAUCACUUUUGCAUCUUCCUAACUGAAUAAGGGAUUUUAACUCAUUUACUUUCACUGACUGUAACCUAGGAGUACAAAUGCUCACCUAACUAAAAGCCUAGUGGACCACUUAGGAGAAAGCUUUUUUCCUCUCCUGGUGCUUGCUGAUAGAAAUCCAAUAGGACUUCACUACUUCCGCUAUCAUGAGCUGCUCUGAGCUUUAAAAGGUUGUCUUUGUCUGUUUGAUAACAUCUGCUCCACACUCUGGUCAUAUGGAAGCCCUUAGGAAACAGUUCUCUAAGGCAGAAGCAUAUUUCAUAAGAUUCAUAUGAUUUACAAACAAGAAUUUUAAGUUCUAAUUAGUACUUUCAGGGUGGUUCAUGCAAAAGAAAGAUUUCUAUUUGCAUGUCAAUGAAAAGCUGCUGCCUUAGAAACCUUUAUUAAAUCUUUAAUUAAUCUUUGUACAUGGGGAAGGAUUUAUUUUUCUUAUUUCCAGUCCUCAGGAACAGAUUCAGACAAUCUUAGGGCCUUAGAUGUUUAGAAUAUCCAUGCCUAUUGCACCAUGAGGUUUUAGGUUUGGUAUGUGGUGUGAGGAGAAAAGAAAAUCUAGUCCUCAAAGAGUUCCUUUUUUUUUCCUUAAAAUCUGUGAUAGCCCUAUUGCCUCUCUUCUCUUUCUCCCUUCCUUUCUUACCCUCUUCUCUUCCUUCUGCCUUUCCUUCUCCAGUAUUGUAUUUCUCUUUCAGAAAUACUUAUGACCAGUGCUUGCUGGGUGGUAACUUUUAUUUUAUUAGUGCUUAUGCUAGAAUCACUCAUUUUCACACUGUGCAAUUACUACUUACAAAAAAUGCUUUUUUUUUUUCUUUUUUAGGGCUGCACCUGUAGCAUAUGGAUGUUCCCAGACUAGAGGUCGAAUCAGAGCUGCUGUAGCCCCCACAACCCCCAUAGACCUCUGCCACAGCCCCAGCAAUGCCUGAUCCAAGCCUCAUCUGUUCCCUGUGCCCCUGCAGCUUGCAGCAAGGCCAGAUCCUUAACCCACUGAGCAAGGCCAGGCGUCAGACCCACAUCCUCUUAGAUACUAGUCAGGUUCUUAACCUGCUGAGCCACAAUGGGAACUCCUUUUAUUUUAAAGUUCUUCAAAAUUUUAACUAAAUGCUGCCAUAAUAAUUAGAUUUCUAAUUUUUAGAUAUUAAAUUAUUAUUUAAAAUGUUGGCUCCUUUGUCCAAUAAACUGAUGCAGUGGAAAGAAUUAAUAAACAACUGGAGCCUAAGAGAUAUUUAUAAUGAUAAAUAACAGGUACUUAAUUCCUUGGGUUAGAUUCAUGAUAGUGCUUACUAUAUAUAUCUCACUAUAUAUAUGUAUAUGAUAUAUAUAUCACUGUGUAUAUGUGUGCGUGUGUGUAUAUACAUAUCUAUGAUUUUUGUCGUGUGUGUAUAUAUAUACAUAUAUAUAUGAUUUUUUGUCAUGUGUGUGUAUAUAUAUACAUAUAUAUAUAUGUAUAUAUAUAUAUGAUUUUUUGUCAUGUCAAUAUACCUUCUUUUGGAGGCCCAGAACCACCCUUUCUUUUUUCAUACUAUUUUGUGAUUUGGGGUUGUGUCUGAUUCAGGCUAGCAAGAAUGAAAACUCUCAUUUCCCAUGACUAUCUUGGUUCUGGAAUGUGCAUCUGAUCUAAAAUGUGCUGAUCAAAGUUUUCCUUGGAAUUUGUCCUGGAGCUCUCAGGAGGCACAGCAAUAAAGCAUGUAGGAUCAGGACCAGCAGUGGUUGGUUAUCUUGCUGUCUUCUCUGUCCUGUGUAGGACCAGGACAAGCAGUGGCUGGUUAUCUUGCUGUCUUAGGAAGAGGGUCUAUUUAAGAGCAAAACUAAACAAAGGCAGGUGGAGUUGGAUAAGAGCAAGAAAAGAGAUUGAGAGAACAGAUGCUAUUGACUGCAUUACUGGAGGUUUACACUUGGAAGGUAUUUUUCAUAUAUAUAUGAAAUGAGUGACAUAAAGGAUGAAUUCAUUAGAGAAAAAACAGCCAAAAAAAAAAAAAGCAGGGAGGAAAAAUGGAGUAUGGCACAUCUAGGGCUCCAAGAGUUUUUAAUAGCUAAAGUUUCAGAAUGCUGGUUGUUUGGUAGCAGGGGUGAGCUGAAAGGUAUACAAGGGCCCAAUUAUGAGAAGGACCUUGACUGUCAAAUUAAGGAGCUUAGACUUGCUUCUGAAGGCAAUAAAGAGCCAUUAAUUGCAUUUAAGCAGGCAUCUGAUUGGUUAGAUUUGCUCAAGACUGGUUCGUGUUGAAGAAAUAUGUAAAGUUGGAAAAACUUUUAAACAUCAUCAUUGCUGUUUCCAUUCAAAACUAUCAAACCAAUAAUUGGAAAACUUGAAGGUCUAAAUAUAACUCUAAGAAAUCAAUUUAAAAAAACCUCUAAGUUUAUCUUGUCAUUUAUGAUAUUAUAAAACAGCAUGGAGACAUUGUUAUGAAUAUAUUGAUUUGAUCUUAGACAUUCCAGUUAUAUUAAAAAAGCUAAGUUAGCAAAGAAAAAGCACUACAACCACUGAAAACUGAGUCAGUGGAAAUAACUAAAGUUAGAAAAUAGAAGAGUUAACUUGUUAACUUUAGAAUGAAGAACUACAGUGGAGAUUAAUUUGCUUCUGUUGCUUCAGAAUAGACAUUCAUAUUCAGAAAUCAAGUAAACCAUGAAUGUUGUUUAAAUAUUCUGUACAGCUAUAGUCAGUUUCUUCUGUCUCAAAAUUUUUCUAAAUACAUAUUUUGUAGAUAGACUCUUUUUCUUAAGAUAAUGCAAACUGUAAUACCUGUAUGUCAAGUGUACUCAAGCCUAAUUAAUAUUUUUAUAUUAAUAUACAGUGAUUUUCAGUGUGAAACGUUAUUUUCUAUCCUCUUUUGCUACUCAUAACAUCCUUGUGAUUUGGGCUCUGCAGCCGACUUUUCAGCUGAGAAAACUGCGGUUCUAAGACGACAGUAGUAAGGAGCUCAAGAGCACACAGAGAAUCUGGCCAAACUGAUAUUUGUAGAGCCCAGGACUUCUUGGUUUGUUUUUACAUCAAAUACUGUAUUCCUUGCUUUUCAAGGCAGCAUAACAGCUGACCUGGACAGCCAGGUAGCUGAGUCAGGAAUUAGGUAUCUACCCUAAACAGUGGAUUUCUGGAGUGGGUGAGUCUGGCACAGUCUAGUGGGACCACCACUUUGCCCUGCCCUUCUGCAGGUGAGCCUUGUCUUUAGGUUUUUCAUUGAAUUUCCUCUGGUAUUUAAGGUUCCCUAAAGGAGAAUAAUCUUACCCUUGAUCCUUCACCCUUGAGCCUUUUAUUUCUCAUUGCCAGCAGCCAAGGUAAAGAUUAGGAUCUCUUUCUAAUAUUAAUGUGACUAUUAAUGAAAAUGACUACAUUCUUUCCAAUGGACUGAUAAUCAAGGAUCACUAGUUUCCACUCAACUUGAGAUACUUCCCACUGUCUGAACUCUUCCUAUAGACUUUGUUAAAUAAGAACAUCAGUCUAAGUCAACAUAGGACCACAUGGGUUUUUGGAUGCUGUCCGUUCCCUCAGGGACGAGUACUGAGCUCCGCUGACAAUCAAAACACUUUAGAGCUGCCAGAUGCCACCAUGUGUCACCAGCAGGCAUCUGACUUGUUCUAUGUUAAGGAAAUAUAUAAAUACGCCAGCAGUGCCCUGUUGCCUGGCUGACUCCUUUCCACUCUUCUACUCUCAGCUCAGGCAUCUUCUCCUCCCCAAACCUUUCAGCAUUAGUGUUGAUUUAGGUUUCUCUUCCAUGAAUUCCCAUUUGUAAUACAGUGGUUUCCACAUUAUACUCUAAAUGUCUAUUUCUCAGACUUAGCAAUGUCUUAGAUGGAGGGCCUCUGUUUUCAUCUUUUUAGCUCCAGGGCCAUUUAUAAGGAGUCUGGAGCCAAUGAAUGCUUGCAAACUAAAGAUUGCCUACCUGAAUGAAAAAAAAAAAUGGACUUUUGAAACAAUGAUAAAACAAAUACGAAUCCUUAAAUAUAUGUCUUACAUGUAGAGUCAUUUUCUAUAAAUGACUUACAGUUUUGGUCUUAUAUUAGAAUUAUUGGAAGAGUCUCUAAUGGAAGUGUACUAGAAAAAACAUUGUACCCAUUCAGUAAACGGAGGCAAAGAGAAAUGAACUAAUAUUUAUUAAGGACUAUGUCCUAGGACUGAUUAGGAAAUUUUAUGUAUAUGUUAUUCUAUUUAAUAUUUAUAUUAAUGCCACAAGCAAAUGUAUUUUUAUCUUCCCUUUAUGAAUGAAGUAAGUUUUUAAAGAAGUAGAGUUACCUUCAACUAAAAUCUAGCAUUUAGUAAGUUUAAGGAUGGGGCAGAAUCCCAGGAGAGAAAGGGCUCAAAAGCCCGAUUGACUUAAAUCUCAAUGUUUUCUAGCCAUAUCAUAUGUCUAAAAUAUUGGGCAAGUAUUUAUUCGCCCUAAGAUUCUUCUGUAUAUAUGCACAUCUGUAUCUGUGAACCACAGGCCUACGAAUGGCUGAUCCUGUGUUUGUUGCAAAGAUAAAGUGUAUAGCAAAAUGCCAGGUAUUAAUAGACUGCAUGGUGAUUAUUCUGCUUGCAUAACCUAGUAAUUACUUUACAUUCUACUCUCUUUUCACUACACUAAGUUUUCUUUAAAAAAGAAAUCCCUGCCAUAUUAUGGAUAUCAGUGAACAGUUUAGAUCUUCACUAACUGCAAAAUGGGCAGAGGAACAUCCUCAAACCAUUCCUGAGGGAUUUUACUCCUAAGAUGUUCUUUGAGGAAGGACAGCAGUCCAACGCAGACCUAGCAAUGAGCUCCUGUGCAAUGCCCCCAGGAAGAUCCAACCCCCGGACAAUGCUCAGUCCAAGCAGAGUAGAGUGUUAUCCACUGUAGCCUGACAUGCAGGACCCCUGUGUGCUUGAAUCAACUUCACUGUGGUCUCUGCUUGCUGGGAAUUGCUUUAGGUAGUUGGAGUUCUCCAGAGCAAAGGAUCUAGCGUUUCCAGGCAUUCUGCUACUUUUGAGCUGAUGAGACUCAGGGUGGUCUGUGUCUUUAUUUUUGGAAGGUAAGGGUUUGGAUAUCUCUCUUCUGUUUCUUUAGUUCCCCUCACCCACAAAACACCAACUGACUAACUCACUGAGGUAAUCCACAAAAAAAGGGAAAAAAGGCCAUCCUGGUACAUAUGAUAUGGAAAUACUGCCUACAUGUGGAAAAGGUGUUAAAAAUGUGACAAAGUAAUAAAGUCUCUUUUUGUAAACUGGAGAAGAUUCGUCAGAGAAAGUUUAGGAGAAAAAUCAAGGGGGGAUAAAAAUAUUUCUCUGUCUAUAGUGGCUGUCAAGCAUUGUGCUUACGGAUGCUACAUUAACUGCCUAAAGCGUGCUCCUGUUCUUCUUAAGGCAGUAGAAGCUUUCAGGGCCAAGUGGAGCUGUACUUCACAGUUCCUCUUAAUGAAGUCAGUGUGAGCCCUCUGAAUAAAAAUGCCUCAAAGGAUGUGGAAUGGAAUGAGAAUUGGGUUCACCAAAAAUGAUAAAAACUGUACAGAUUAAGUAAAAGAAAUUUUACCUCAGAGCAUUGACAAGGAUUGUCUCCGCUCCUUGGGGAGCUCAGCCCUGUGUCGGCAGCAUUCAUGGUACAAUUUCCUUUCUGAAACUUGGCUUUUUAUAAGCCGCUCUAACUUGAAUCAAAGGGUCUUGCGAGAACGGAAGUUGGCAUUUUUUUAAACUUUAUGAAUUAUUAGGGAAGCCCCUUCAAAUGAAAUUAACUUUAGAUCAUGGAAGACAAUGGCAAAACCCUAUAAAACACAUUUCAUGCACUUCAGAUGAGCUAAAAUGUAAUAGUUUACUUAUUGAGUGGGUGGGGAGGGUUAGAAAUUACUUUAAAAAGGACUAAAACAGUUCAAAGCUAUUUCUUAAAAAUAUCUUGUUUCAUUGUAGAAAGAUCUCUCACUGCUCUUAUUGAAGAUUUGGCUCUGUUAGUAAUGAUUUCUUACCCUUACCUACAUUUCAUGAUUCAUUUUGUUAUAACAUUCCCUGUUUUAUGAAAAGGUUUUUUUUUUUUUUCCUUUUUUAAAUCCAAUCUUACCUGUGAUUAGUCCUGCCCUACUUUCCCAUGUCACCUUCAAAAAAGUGAUAAAGCCAGAGUUUCUUCCAAAAAUAGAUAUUAUUUGAGUCUCCUUGUUCUCUAGCUGUGGUGUCAUUAGGGACUUAUGUGGCAGUGCAGAUACUAAGAAGAAAUAUGUCAUUUGAUUCUGAGGUCAGCAUAGUCUAGGGAGGAAAGCACAAUCUGGUGGUGAAACACCCUACAAAAUAAUGUCUCUGAUUCAACUCACAGAAAGCUCUCUGGAAUUAAAAGACGCCGUGUGUGUGUGUAUUUUUUAAACUGCUGACCAGGUCUGUAUCCUUCUGACCUAGAUUAUCAAACCAUGAAAUGUGCAUGUGAGUCCUCUGCAAAGUAAAAUCUUAAGGUCUUGGGACUAAAAAGGAGCUUAACAGCUUCCUAUUGGAACAGUUCUGGCUCUGUCUUCAAUAUCUUCUCCAGGUGGUUCUCUAGUCUUUUUGGACACACUGAAACCCAGUACUCAUAGGAAUGUGAGCUCUUUGAGGGCAUGGGGACUGCUUUUUUCUCCUUCACCUUUACUAUCUCCUGAGUAUAAAUAGUGCUCAGUGCCAAUUAAACCUCACUAAAAUUUGAUGAAUGAAUUAAAGACUGAAGGACCACUCUGAACUACUCUUAAUGUAAAGCAUAGCAAUUUUGGUAUAAAAAAACACACAUAUGAUGUACUUCCUUUCUACUCUCUUUCCUUCUCUUCUUUGUCCCUUUCUUCUUUCUUUUUAUGGCAGACAUAGAAAUCACCUAAACUGGAAACAAGAAGCUAAUUCUUAGCUCUUUGUAGAGCCAAGGUAAUCUCUUACCUGUUCUUGUUAUUAAUGUGUUUAAAGGAGGCCUAAUUUAAUACAAAUUAAAGAGUGGCUAGCUAGGUAACCCCUUUUACUUUAAGUUCUGCGUGUCUCAGUUUUUUUCACCUGUAAAAUGGAGAUAAUAAUUGCAUCUGUCUGAAAUGGUUAUAGAAAGACCCAGUGCCAUAUUAUAUAUAAAAUAGUUUAGGACAGUAUCCAACAUAUAGUUUGCACUUGAUAAACAUUUAAAAAAUUGAUCCCUUAUGAAACAGCACUUUCUAUGUUAAUUUAUCUUUUACUAUUCUGGUUAUCUCUCACUCUGUAACAAAUCACUGCUUUUAUUUUUCCGUAUAUUAACUGAGGUCAGAUGUGUGAUUCUUGCUACGGUUUCUCACAUGUGUAAAUGGGGCCCCAGAGACAUCUGAAUACUUGCCUGAGUUGGGUGUCCAAAAGGGUAUACACCAUGGCUGGCAGCUGAAGGGGGCUGUUGACUAGAAGCUCAGCUGAGACUAUCAGUUAGAGUUUAGCCUCUCCAAGUGGUUUGAACCUCUCUCAGCAUGAUCGCUGGGUCGUGAAAGGGAUCAUUCCAAGAGUGAACAUUGCAGGAGACCCAAAAAGGUGUAGCAAUGCUUAUAAUGCCGUAGCUUCAGAAGUCUCAUGAUACAACUUCUGCCAUAUCGUGUUAAUCCAAGCAGUCACAGGGCAUGCCUGGAUUCAAUGGGGUGAAUAAAUAGGUUCUAUCUCUUGAGUGUCGGAGUGACAAGGUUACAUCACAGAACAGCAUGUGGAAGAGAGAAAUUGUUGCUGCCAUCUUUGGAAAAUUUCAUCAGCUGCAUUAACAAUUACUUCUUUAUAUUCCUUAUAUUUUUCUUUGUACUUUAUACAUGUUAAAUAUCUUUAUUAUUUUUCUUCUGAAACAUGUAAAGCAAUACAGGACAGUUUAAACCCUCAAACCCUCUUUAAGUCUGAAGAUUAUUAAGUGGCUUUAGUGAGCAUUUUCUGGAUAAAUAUUUAGAGAUACUUCAAUUUUAUUAUAGUAAAACAUAGUUUAAAAGUCUUUUGAUAUUGAUAUUGUUCCUAAGGGUUGAAUGUGGUGACUGAAAUAGCUAAAAAACCAAAACCUCCAAAAAUACGAAAUAAAAACUGGUAAAAAGCAAUGUAUCAGUCGUGGCUCAUUUCACUACAUUGGGUUGGAGUGCUGCGGGCCGUUUGUUUCACUCUUUUACCUUCAGAUCACCCAACAAAAAGACAGUUGAAUUAAAAUAAUCCUGGGAGUUCCAUGUGGCUUAGUGGAUUAUGAACCUGAUUAGCAUCCAUGAGGACGUGGGUUGGAUCCCUGGUCUCGCUCGGUGGGUUAAGGAUGUGGCAUUGCUAUGAGCUGUGGUAUAUG